GGAAAAAUCAGAUAAGCAGCUGCAGUUAGGGGCGGAAUCAUCGGGAGGUGUAGUGGGAUGUCUGGGAGGAAACAUCUGGGGAACAGGGCAGGAAAACUGUUGGCUCAGGGAAUGUUGAGGAUGACCUUGGAGAAGCUCUGGUUGGCGGAGUGGUUUCUUCACUCGUUCAGCAAACGUGGAGGACCUCGUGGGCUCCAGGAAAUCACAAAGACC
Long non-coding RNA from Octodon degus (degu), 213 nucleotides. RefSeq lists it as uncharacterized. Lineage: Eukaryota; Metazoa; Chordata; Mammalia; Rodentia; Octodontidae. The transcript has 4 exons. The record is from RefSeq and is a predicted model, not a curated record.